Molecule: ribosomal RNA, 488 nt
Filed under: uncultured bacterium
Lineage: Bacteria
Description: partial 16S ribosomal RNA
Rfam family: Bacterial small subunit ribosomal RNA
Source: RNAcentral
AUUGAACGCUGGCGGCAGGCCUAACACAUGCAAGUCGAACGGUAACAGGAAGCAGCUUGCUGCUUUGCUGACGAGUGGCGGACGGGUGAGUAAUGUCUGGGAAACUGCCUGAUGGAGGGGGAUAACUACUGGAAACGGUAGCUAAUACCGCAUAACGUCGCAAGACCAAAGAGGGGGACCUUAGGGCCUCUUGCCAUCGGAUGUGCCCAGAUGGGAUUAGCUAGUAGGUGGGGUAACGGCUCACCUAGGCGACGAUCCCUAGCUGGUCUGAGAGGAUGACCACCCACACUGGAACUGAGAACCGGUCCAGACCCCGACGGGGGGCAGCAGUGGGGAAUAUUGCACAAUGGGCGCAAGCCUGAUGCAGCCAUGCCGCGUGUAUGAAGAAGGCCUUCGGGUUGUAAAGUACUUUCAGCGGGGGGGAAGGGAGUAAAGUUAAUACCUUUGCUCAUUGACGUUACCGCAGAAGAAGCACCGGCUAACCCCGU